This 1190-nucleotide long non-coding RNA is filed under the name Parus major (Great Tit). RNAcentral's name for it is "lncRNA (ENSPMJG00000004441.1)". Lineage: Eukaryota; Metazoa; Chordata; Aves; Passeriformes; Paridae. The record is from RNAcentral.
GUGACCCCGGGAAUGUCCCCAAGGUGACCCCGAGGUGACCCUGGGAAUGGCCCCAAGGUGUCCCCAGAGUGACCCCAGGAAUAUCCCCAAGGUGUCCCCAAGGUGUCCCCAGGAGUGACCCUGAGGUGACCCCAGGAAUGACCCUGAGGUGACCCCAGAGUGACCCUGGGAGUGACCCUGAGGUGACCCCAGAGGUGUCCCCAAGGUGUCCCCAAUGUGACCCGGAGGUGUCCCCAGGAAUGUCCCCAAGGUGUCCCCAGGGGUUUCAUACAGGACCGGGUCCCUCCACCCCACAACUGCCACCCCCCACACCUGGGGGGACAAUUCUGGGUGUCCCCAAAUUCUGGGUGUCCCCAAAUUCCGGGUGUCUCCAAAUUCUGGGUGUCCCAAAAUUCUGGGUGUCCCCAAAUCCAGGUGUCCCCAACCUUGGGGUGGCCCCUGGACAGGGUGGGGACACCGAGGGUCCAGAAGGGACCGGGACACUGGGCAGGGGUGUGGCACUGCUGUCCCCCCUCUAUCCCCUCUCUGUCCCCUCCUGUCCCCUCUCUGUCCCCACCUCUGUCCCCCCUCCUGUCCCCUCUGUCCCCUCCUGUCCCCUCCUGUCCCCUCUCUGCCAGCCCGGGGACACGGGGACAGGACCGAGGGGACAUCUGACCCCAUAAAGUGCAAACUGGGACGGCCCCGGGAUGGGGACAGGGACAAACUGGGAGGGGACACUGGGGGUGGCACCUGGGGGUGGCCAUGGCUGGGAUCACCUGGGGACAUCGAGGUCACCACCGGGAUCAUUGAGGGGACAUUGAGGUCACCAUGGCUGGGAACACCUGGGGACAUUGAGGUCACCACUGGGAACACCUGGGGACAUCGAGGUCACCACCGGGAUCACCUGGGGACAUUGAGGCCACCAUGGCUGGGAUCACCUGGGGACAUCGAGGUCACCACUGGGAACACCUGGGGACAUCGAGGUCACCACUGGGAUCACCUGGGGACAUUGAGGUCACCACUGGGAUCACCUGGGGAUGUCACCUGUGGGGUGACCACAGCCAGGAUGACCAUGGGGACAUGGCCGUGGGGUGACCACAAGGCCAUCACCAUGGGGUGACCACAGCCAGGAUAACCACGGGGACAUGGCCGUGGGGUGACCAUGGCCAAGGUCACUUAGGGGACAUCACCUGGAGAUGACCACGACCAGG